RNAcentral lists this long non-coding RNA (580 nucleotides) under Olea europaea subsp. europaea. The record is from RNAcentral. Lineage: Eukaryota; Viridiplantae; Streptophyta; Magnoliopsida; Lamiales; Oleaceae.
UAGGUAUUGUCCUAUUUAGAUAUGUUGACGGAGCAAGUGUACACUUAGCAAGUAACCAGACUCGAUCGAGUAUAAUUGAGUCCAAGAUUAUAAUUCAAGAUUAGAUACGCUAUCCCAAAACAUAUUUGACCAAUUGUCUUUCGGGUCCUAAAAGGUCCAUGACAAGUCUUAAAUCUCCCUCACAAUGGGGAAGUAGGGGCAACCAGCGAAGAAUUUAAAGCAACACUGGACAUGAAAGCAAUAAAGGUCCUUGAAUGCAGCAGAUCACAGCAAAAUAGGUGUACAAGUGCAUGCACGGUGAAUUUGUCAAACAGAAUGGGCUAUGGCAAGAGGACCCCUCAACCGGCCAAAAAACAGAUUGUGGGGACUUGUCCUGUCCCUGCCAGGAUGCCUAGUCACUAUCGUUGCAUUUUCUAGAAGCAGCAGUUCACAUCCUGUUCAGUACGAAUCCCAUAAUUCCCAACGGCUAUGAUUUUGACCCCUCUUCUAAGUGUAGUGUAUUCAGCGGACUAAAUAAUUCAUAAGUAAUAACACUGCUCAGUCGAACUUUGCGUUCCCAUGUGAGAGCUCGUGGUUCGGG